Long non-coding RNA from Mesocricetus auratus (golden hamster), 2478 nucleotides. RefSeq lists it as uncharacterized. The transcript is spliced from 3 exons. NCBI's taxonomy places the organism in Eukaryota, Metazoa, Chordata, Mammalia, Rodentia, Cricetidae. The record is from RefSeq and is a predicted model, not a curated record.
CCCGCCGGGAAUAGUGUCAUGGCAGAGCAACGACCCUUUUCCCUUCAGCAGGGAGAGAGGGUUCACCCCUGGACAACGCCUGGGCUCUGUUAGGGUGCAGGGAGGCCUCUCAGAACCUCCCACUGUCAGGAACAUGUUAGGGGCAUCUGCAUAGGGAGAAGCUGCAAGUCCAUUUCUACUCCGGGGACUGAGGCCUCCGGGUAGAGCAGGAGGAGAGGCCUAAGGUUGGGGGGGGGGAGAGGAGCUGGAAGGAAGCUGGGGUGCGGCUGUGGGUGAGGAGAUGCCAGGAAGGCGGCCUAGCACAUCCUGGGCUGAGGCCUUGGUGGCCUAACCAGCCUAAGUCAGGCCCUGCCUGGGGCCACUCUCUGAGGACACGGGUCACAGGGUUUUCUUUAACAUCUAGAACUGGGCCUGGCUGCCACAGUGAACUGUACUCCAUGAAUAAACGAAGGACAGACUUUUUUUUUCAGGUGGGCUUAACACCUAGCAUCUUUAACCAACGUGCAGAUUUCCUUAUCAGCUUUCACUCCAUGGACAACAUGCUUCUCAACCAAACAUGUCAGCUGUAUGAAUCCAGAGGCAGGCCCAGACAUGUCUGGAGGCACACCCGUGCCCACGGGCACACAUGGAUACGUGCGCCUAUGAGCCGGCCGGUUCAAGCAGGCAGCACUUUGGAAAGACACUCACUGCCAAUAAAAGGAUCAUUUCUUUCAGAGACAUCAGAGACUUCAGAAGAGAGGUCAAGAAAAGCCCGAGGCUCAGCUAGGGACAUUUUGUGUUUGUUGUGUCUGCGCUUAGUUACCUGAGCGGCAGGAGAGUGUCUCCUCCCGGAUCCAUUCACCUCUGACCUGCUAUCCACAAGAAAACCAACACCCACAAGUUGUCUGGUUUUGGAACCAGCAGUUGGGAGUAGGAGUCCCUUUACACUUUGCCAGCUCUCCAAGGAGACCAGGGCCCAAGCAGCACAGGGAACCCACGGCCCGCCACCCUCUUGGGUAGUCAGGAGUCCUCCACCUGCCCAGAAGGACUUAAAUCUGAGUCCUCUCUCCAGGCUUAAUGUUCAGGAAAUACACAACAUAGGAGCGGAUCCUGAAGAGCUUAAGCCAGUCCCGAGAGCCCCAGAUCCUCCAGCCACAGAAGGCUUUUCACAUAUACCGCAGAGAGCUCCCUGCCCUCCUUCUGGAACCUGUCACAACAGCAGCUGCUUUCACAGAUGUCCUGGUCCUCUGAACUGUGUCUUCUGAAGAUGCCAGGACCCUAGCACCGCCCCCAUCAGACCGCCCCACUUCCCUUCACCUCUGAGCUCAGCAUUCUUGCAGGAGACAGCGGCCACUCCAACAGAACCACGUAAUGUGUCCCUCGUCUGUCCCAGCAGCUGGCUGCUUGUCCCUACAGUCCACACGCUCUCAAGAAUUCUUCCUCUUCCUGACUCCAUCUUGGUGUUAGUACCUGGUCAGGCUGCAAGUCAGCCACCGUGACCCCUUCAGGUGGAACACAAGGCAAUUCCAGGACCACACAGCAGAGGGCAGCAAGGGCAGCAAACAUAACACAGUCAAGCAGGCAGGGCAGGGACAGCUGGUCCCCGCGCACAGCAGAGGAGGCCUGAGACCGCGCCUCUGACCCACACCUGCCACCCCCCCCCCCAGGUGAGGAGUCUAUAGCUCAGGAUCUGAAGGGAUGGGGGCGGGCGUCUGCCAUGGCCACUACGAAACCUGUCCUUAAGAAACUGUUCAAAAUAAAGCAGUCAACUAGCUUUCUGGACACAGGGUUCACUUCCUCUUCAACCCUCCGGAGCACAAACUGCCUGGCAUGCUGGAUAAAGUUGGCUAUCGCGGGGAGAUUUUUGUCUGCUUCGCUUUGAGGCCUCCCUGCCCUCCCCGCCUCACACCACCGCUGCCGGCUGGAGCGGCGACACUCAUGGAGGUGCAGGGCUUGGGUUCAAAGCCCAGUUUGGCCACUUCACAACCAGGCAGCCCGGGGAGGCCACGACCCGGCCCUUCCACGUGCCUUGAUUUCCUCAUCCGUCAAGCGCCCUCCCGCCUCACACAGCAGAGUGGAGAAUGAAAACGUCAUGUGCCCACAGCCCCUGAUAUACACAAAGCCCCUGAUAAAUGCAAGUCCCUACUCUGUGACCUUCGAGUAAAUAAAUAACAGAAUGCUUGGGCGUGUGAUGAAUGUCACACUCCAAGCAUCCCGCAGGGCUGAUUUAGCCGUCCCAGAGGACACAGGGCCGGGGCUGAUGACGGCUCCCGAGACUAAACAGUGAACGCUUCAUCAGACCUCUGACCCCAGGGGGUGACCCUCCCAUCAAUCUCCCCAGUCCAGAGAGGGCAGAUGACCGGACACACAUUCAUCAUGGACCACCCACCGCUGCUGUUUGUUCUGUAGCUUUUAGUAGAACAGUUGCAACUCUGAACUUCUUCCCUGGAAUAUUUUGUGAUAAAAAGCAAUCUUAUAAAUAAAAAAAGUCAAAUGUGA